Molecule: long non-coding RNA, 352 nt
Filed under: Brassica napus (rape)
Lineage: Eukaryota; Viridiplantae; Streptophyta; Magnoliopsida; Brassicales; Brassicaceae
Description: long non-coding RNA (BNAP_LNC009069)
Source: RNAcentral
GAUAUGAGUCUAUGCUUUAGGACCUAUUUGUAUACCCGGAAAGAGGGUCUAUCCGUGGACUGCACAUUCUAUUGGGAAUUAGUCUGGGCCCUUACAUAGGCCCGGGAUACCCCAGGUUAAACAAAAAACAUUAGAUGCGAGUUUUCUAUUUUUCUUCAAAUAGAAGACAAAUUAUAAAAAUGAAACAUAGCUGUAAAGGUGUUUUCAUGGCUUAACUUAUCAUUUUUGUUUUCAUCAUGUGAUCCCCCACCCCCAAAGUCAAAGGUUCUGCUCUCGAUUGUCAUUCGUCUCUUUACGAAUAAACUAAAUGACGUUUUUUUUUGUAAAAACUAAAUGACGUUUAGUACACGAU